CCUACGGGAGGCUGCAGUGGGGAAUCUUGGACAAUGGGCGCAAGCCUGAUCCAGCUAUUCCGCGUGUGGGAUGACGGCCCUCGGGUUGUAAACCACUUUAGUAGAGAACGAAAAGGAGCUAUCGAAUAAAUAGCUCUGCUGACGGUACUCUAAGAAUAAGCACCGGCUAACUACGUGCCAGCAGCCGCGGUAAUACGGAGGGUGCGAGCGUUAAUCGGAAUUACUGGGCGUAAAGGGUGUGCAGGCGGCUUGGUAAGACAGAUGUGAAAUCCCCGGGCUUAACCUGGGAACUGCAUACGUGACUGGUAGGCUAGAGUGUGUUAGAGGGAGGUAGAAUUCCAGGUGUAGCAGUGAAAUGCGUAGAGAUGUGGAAGAAUACCGAUGGCGAAGGCAGCCUCCUGGGA
Molecule: ribosomal RNA, 404 nt
Filed under: uncultured bacterium
Lineage: Bacteria
Description: partial 16S ribosomal RNA
Rfam family: Bacterial small subunit ribosomal RNA
Source: RNAcentral